This 176-nucleotide microRNA precursor is filed under the name Malus domestica (apple). RNAcentral describes it as "miR319c stem-loop (mdm-MIR319c)". Its record names the gene mdm-MIR319c. Lineage: Eukaryota; Viridiplantae; Streptophyta; Magnoliopsida; Rosales; Rosaceae. The record is from miRBase by way of RNAcentral.
AGGAGCUCUUCUUCAGUCCAGUCCGGGGCRGUUUAAGGGCUGACACUCAGCUGCUGACUCGUUGGUUCAAGAACUCAUCGUACAAAUGCUAAAAGAAGUGGUGUGUUUCUGAUCCAACGAAGCAGGAGCUGAGAGGUUGGUUAUUGCAGUCGCGUCUUGGACUGAAGGGAGCUCCU